UUAGCCUGUCACUUCCAGUAGAGUUUCAUUUAUUAGAGAUGAUGAUUGGCUGAGGGAUAAAGCACAGGGGUGAGACCCCCACGUCCCCUCUCAGCAGGUGGGAGACGCGGCAAAGGGAGACUCUCACCUGCUGAAAGCUCCCCUGCCUCGUGUAAUGACCCAAUUAGGCUGGGCUUGUUUUUCCCCGCUUUAAACGUUGAUUAUCCUACAAGUGUUUUCGCACUUGUAGGCACUGCUAGGCUUUCAGUCCUUAAUGGUCAUUGUGUGCGCCACCUUGGAUAUAAACAUAUAGCCUACAGUUCAUCCAUACAGUUCAUCUCUACACGAUCUGCUAUGUUACAACAAAAUCUUCAAUGUGUUUUGUUGCAAUUUUUGUGGUGGACAAAGAAAUAAAUGGAAGAAAACCUGCCCUGCAGCCACAGAGAUUCACAGUAACUUUGGAGGGAGCUGGAGAGAUCCACAGCUCAGUUAGGAGGACAACUGCUGUCCUUGUUGAAAGACGUCCUGUCUAAAGCUUAUCCCGGACCUGGAAGGAGAGCAGCAAAUAUGAGGAAGAACAAUCUGGAUUGCCUUGGUCCGGUGGAGGUUGAGCCUUGCCGCUGGUUUCCUGGCUGGAGCUGAAAUGGAUCCCUCUCUCUCCAAUCAGCUGUCCUGAAGUCUCCGGUCUGGGACAAGGAGACUGGAGAGAGAGUCCACAUACGCUUCUGACCGUUUUGCAUCGAAACAGGAGAAGGGAUCCAAGCUGAUUUCUGCGAGACGACCUGCUGCUGCUCGUC
Molecule: long non-coding RNA, 776 nt
Organism: Gambusia affinis (western mosquitofish)
Lineage: Eukaryota; Metazoa; Chordata; Actinopteri; Cyprinodontiformes; Poeciliidae
Exons: 3
Source: RefSeq, a predicted model, not a curated record